Long non-coding RNA from Lutra lutra (Eurasian river otter), 547 nucleotides. RefSeq lists it as uncharacterized. Lineage: Eukaryota; Metazoa; Chordata; Mammalia; Carnivora; Mustelidae. The transcript is spliced from 3 exons. The record is from RefSeq and is a predicted model, not a curated record.
ACAGGAGGCCGAGAGUCAGCCCCAGCAGCAUGGCCUCUGGAUGGUGAGUCCCAAGGCUCCUGGAGGGAAGAGGACAGGCCCCUGCCUCUGAGGGGGGCCCCCGUCGGACCUCGCCAGGCCCCAUCGUGGGAGGGGAGCACCAUCAUACCUGACCUAGGCUGUACGCCCAGUGUGGAGCGAGCUCGAAGCUGGAACCCACGACCCUGAGAUCAAGACCUGAGCUGAGAUCCAGUCAGACGCUUAGCUGAUGGAGCCGCGCAGGUGCCCCAGACGUUGGUCAACAACCCAGAUGUCCAACAUGAAGAAAUUAGUUCAAAGUUCGGUUCUGAAAUGGGACAUCGACACCGUAUUUCUGCCGUUUUGGCAUCUCUUAUUUAUUCUUUCUUGUGUCCGCUGCCUCAUCUGGCCUCGUCCUCGGGCGCCACUUCUAGGAACUGCUUCUUCCGAUUCCUCCCAGGAAUUUCAGGUUUCAGGCCCCCAGUGAUGACGCCGGUCCCACCGGGGCAAUCCAAGACAUCUCCCCAUGUCACACCGCUGGCUCAGCCAA